Stegastes partitus (bicolor damselfish) is the source of this 517-nucleotide long non-coding RNA. RefSeq lists it as uncharacterized. The record is from RefSeq and is a predicted model, not a curated record. The transcript has 2 exons. Lineage: Eukaryota; Metazoa; Chordata; Actinopteri; Pomacentridae.
UAUUCUUUAUUCAGAUUGUGGGGCUGCAGUUUGUCAGCGAUCAGCUGUGAUUCUCUGGUCUCAGCUCUGAAGUCCAACCCCUCCCAUCUGAGACAUAUGUACCUGAGUCAGAACAAGCUGCAGGAUUCAGGAGUGAAGCAUCUGUGUGGUUUUCUGGAGAGUCCACACUGCAGCCUGGAGGAUCUGAGAUUGGAGCGCUGCAGUUUGUCAGCGAUCAGCUGUGAUUCUCUGGCCUCAGCUCUGAAAUCCAACCCCUCCCAUCUGAAAGGUCUGGACCUGAGUCUGAACCAGCUGCAGGAUUCAGGAGUAAAGCAUCUGUGUGGUUUUCUGGAGAGUCCACACUGCAGCCUGGAGACUCUGGGGUCAGACAUCAUGUUUUAUUUGUGUGCUGAGAUGAAAAUGAUGUGAAAGUUGUGGUGUCACUAAACUGAUAUUAAACUGAUCCACACUGAGGAUCUUCAUGGUAAGAUCUCAGUUAUUUCAGUACUUUAGUUCAUCAGAUGGUAAAAACAGUAAA